CGGGUGAGUAAUGUAUGGGGAUCUGCCUGAUGGCGGGGGAUAACUACUGGAAACGGUAGCUAAUACCGCAUAAUGUCUACGGACCAAAGCGGGGGACCUCCGGGCCUCGCGCCAUCAGAUGAACCCAUAUGGGAUUAGCUAGUAGGUAAGGUAACGGCUUACCUAGGCGACGAUCCCUAGCUGGUCUGAGAGGAUGAUCAGCCACACUGGAACUGAGACACGGUCCAG
This 228-nucleotide ribosomal RNA is filed under the name uncultured bacterium. RNAcentral describes it as "partial 16S ribosomal RNA". It matches the Rfam family "Bacterial small subunit ribosomal RNA", at positions 103 to 334 of the family's 1533-position model. The record is from RNAcentral.